UCCUACGGGAGGCAGCAGUGGGGAAUAUUGGACAAUGGGGGGAACCCUGAUCCAGCCAUGCCGCGUGUGUGAAGAAGGCCCUCGGGUUGUAAAGCACUUUCAGCGAGGAAGAACGCCUAGCGGUUAAUACCCGCUAGGAAAGACAUCACUCGCAGAAGAAGCACCGGCUAACUCCGUGCCAGCAGCCGCGGUAAUACGGAGGGUGCAAGCGUUAAUCGGAAUUACUGGGCGUAAAGCGCGCGUAGGUGGCUUGAUAAGCCGGUUGUGAAAGCCCCGGGCUCAACCUGGGAACGGCAUCCGGAACUGUCAAGCUAGAGUGCAGGAGAGGAAGGUAGAAUUCCCGGUGUAGCGGUGAAAUGCGUAGAGAUCGGGAGGAAUACCAGUGGCGAAGGCGGCCUUCUGGACUGACACUGACACUGAGGUGCGAAAGCGUGGGUAGCAAACAGGAUUAGAUACCCUGGUAGUCCACGCCGUAAACGAUGUCGACCAGCCGUUGGGUGCCUAGCGCACUUUGUGGCGAAGUUAACGCGAUAAGUCGACCGCCUGGGGAGUACGGCCGCAAGGUUAAAACUCAAAUGAAUUGACGG
Molecule: ribosomal RNA, 587 nt
Filed under: uncultured bacterium
Lineage: Bacteria
Description: bacterial SSU rRNA
Rfam family: Bacterial small subunit ribosomal RNA
Source: RNAcentral